RNAcentral lists this ribosomal RNA (447 nucleotides) under uncultured bacterium. RNAcentral's name for it is "SSU rRNA". It matches the Rfam family "Bacterial small subunit ribosomal RNA", at positions 26 to 518 of the family's 1533-position model. The record is from RNAcentral.
AGAGCGAACGCUGGCGGCAGGCUUAACACAUGCAAGUCGAGCGGGCGUAGCAAUACGUCAGCGGCAGACGGGUGAGUAAUGCGUGGGAACAUACCUUUGGUUCGGAACAACACAGGGAAACUUGUGCUAAUACCGGAUAAGCCCUUACGGGGAAAGAUUUAUCGCCGAAAGAUUGGCCCGCGUCUGAUUAGCUAGUUGGUGAGGUAACGGCUCACCAAGGCGACGAUCAGUAGCUGGUCUGAGAGGAUGAUCAGCCACAUUGGGACUGAGACACGGCCCAAACUCCUACGGGAGGCAGCAGUGGGGAAUAUUGGACAAUGGGCGCAAGCCUGAUCCAGCCAUGCCGCGUGAGUGAUGAAGGCCCUAGGGUUGUAAAGCUCUUUGUGCGGGAAGAUAAGUGACGGUACCGCAAGAAUAAGCCCCGGCUAACUUCGUGCCAGCAGCCGC